RNAcentral lists this ribosomal RNA (261 nucleotides) under uncultured archaeon. RNAcentral describes it as "partial 16S ribosomal RNA". It matches the Rfam family "Archaeal small subunit ribosomal RNA", at positions 748 to 1008 of the family's 1478-position model. The record is from RNAcentral.
CAGCCGUAAACUAUGCGCGUUAGGUGUAUCGGUGACCACGAGUUACCGAGGUGCCGAAGGGAAACCGUGAAACGUGCCGCCUGGGAAGUACGGUCGCAAGGCUGGAACUUAAAGGAAUUGGCGGGGGAGCACCACAACGGGUGGAGCCUGCGGUUUAAUUGGACUCAACGCCGGAAAUCUCACCGGAUAGGACAGACAUAUGAUAGUCGGGCUGAAGACUCUACUUGAUGAUCUGAGAGGUGGUGCAUGGCGUCAGUGACU